UUCCAAAGAAACAUUUCAUACCAAACUGCUCUUGGGUUUAACUCAGCAAGGGAAGAUAACAUGUGGAGUUAUCAUGUGGAGUUCUCCAUCAAAGAGACUAACAGCAUCAUAGAACAUGACAGCAUCCAGACCAAUUGUGCAUUUACAUCUUCAGACAUUCCUAUGAGGUUGAGCAGGGGCAGCAAGUUUCCAAUCAUCACUAGUUCUUCAAAGCAUCCAACCAAGAAAAAAAAAA
Strigops habroptila (Kakapo) is the source of this 235-nucleotide long non-coding RNA. RefSeq lists it as uncharacterized. The transcript has 3 exons. NCBI's taxonomy places the organism in Eukaryota, Metazoa, Chordata, Aves, Psittaciformes, Psittacidae. The record is from RefSeq and is a predicted model, not a curated record.